CUUCUACCCUGCGGAGAUCACCCUGUCCUGGCAGCGUGACGGGCAGGACCUGACCCAGGACACAGAACUUGUGGAGACCAGGCCUGCAGGGGACGGGAACUUCCAGAAGUGGGCGGCUGUGGUGGUGCCUUCUGGAGAGGAGCAGAGAUACACAUGCCGUGUGCAGCAUGAGGGGCUGGCUGAGCCCGUCACCCUGAGAUGGGAGCCGCCUCCUGAGUCCCCCAUCCUCACUGUGGGCAUCAUUGCUGGCCUGCUUCUCCUUGGAGCUGUGGUGGUUGGACUUGUGAUCUGGAGGAAGAAGCACUCAGCGUGAAACAGCUGCCUUGUAGGGGACAGAAUGAUGCAAGAUUUGUUCCUGUCCCACUGCCAUUGUGACUUCAGGAAACUCUUACUUCUCUUUCUGCAAAGGGCAUCUGAGUGUGUCUGUGUUC
Equus quagga is the source of this 431-nucleotide long non-coding RNA. RefSeq lists it as uncharacterized. NCBI's taxonomy places the organism in Eukaryota, Metazoa, Chordata, Mammalia, Perissodactyla, Equidae. The transcript is spliced from 3 exons. The record is from RefSeq and is a predicted model, not a curated record.